This 791-nucleotide long non-coding RNA is filed under the name Astyanax mexicanus (Mexican tetra). Its description in RNAcentral is "lncRNA (ENSAMXG00005023430.1)". Lineage: Eukaryota; Metazoa; Chordata; Actinopteri; Characiformes; Acestrorhamphidae. The record is from RNAcentral.
UUUUUAUCCAUGGCCCCUCCCGGCUCCGUAAUAAUCCUUAAAAGAAAAGUUUUUUUUUAAGAAUUACAGUUUUAGCUUAGCUUAGCUUAGCUUUACUUAAUUUACCAGCAUUUAACUUGAAAUUAAUGUCUUCUGAUGUUGGUGGCCAGCUGGGUAGUUACCACCCACCCCCACCCAGCGACAAGACCUGUAGAAUUAGGAGGAAAACAUGGCAACAUCCCUGUUCCUUUAAUAGUUGCAAUCAGGACACAGCUCUCAAAAGGGCUUCAUUUUAAUAUAUCAUGUUUGAUGUAAAUUAUUAGAAAUUUCAGCAGGAAAUAUUCUCUCAGCUUUAGAAGACUCCACUCCACUUUAUAGAAGCACUGCAAGAGUUGACACUGUGGAAUGAGGAGCGUUAGAAGUGUGGACGUUCCCAAGCCAUCUACUGAGUCGCUCCAAAGCCAAAGACAACCUUGUGAUGUUCACUGGGACUGCAGCCAAAAUAUGGCCUGCUUCAGCUGGGGCCAAAACCCUCCAGCAGGAGAUCGAAGGCACCUCUCUUUACCCACCGACCGGUCCAGCUGAAGUCUGCUCAGUCUGUCCGCCGUCGUUUGGCUCCCCGCGGGCAUGCUGAGAGUUGAGGUCAGGGGCUGAAAACUGUUGGAUCUUUGCGGCAGUACAUUCUCCAGCCUGGACACGGCUUGGUCUUGCAGGGCUACAAGGUUCUGGUGUCACAGAGAGCAGUCGCAUCUUAUGCGGCCAACUGCUUCAGACAACACUCGCUAAUCUACAGCGCGAUGACAGGUUGGCAG